GACGAACGCUGGCGGCGUGCCUAAUACAUGCAAGUAGAACGCUGAAGGAGGAGCUUGCUUCUCUGGAUGAGUUGCGAACGGGUGAGUAACGCGUAGGUAACCUGCCUGGUAGCGGGGGAUAACUAUUGGAAACGAUAGCUAGUACCGCAUAAUAGUAGAUGUUGCAUGACAUUUGCUUAAAAGGUGCAAUUGCAUCACUACCAGAUGGACCUGCGUUGUAUUAGCUAGUUGGUGAGGUAACGGCUCACCAAGGCAACGAUACAUAGCCGACCUGAGAGGGUGAUCGGCCACACUGGGACUGAGACACGGCCCAGACUCCUACGGGAGGCAGCAGUAGGGAAUCUUCGGCAAUGGACGGAAGUCUGACCGAGCAACGCCGCGUGAGUGAAGAAGGUUUUCGGAUCGUAAAGCUCUGUUGUAAGAGAAGAACGAGUGUGAGAGUGGAAAGUUCACACUGUGACGGUAUCUUACCAGAAAGGGACGGCUAACUACGUG
RNAcentral lists this ribosomal RNA (495 nucleotides) under uncultured bacterium. RNAcentral's name for it is "partial 16S ribosomal RNA". It matches the Rfam family "Bacterial small subunit ribosomal RNA", at positions 28 to 507 of the family's 1533-position model. The record is from RNAcentral.